RNAcentral lists this ribosomal RNA (439 nucleotides) under uncultured bacterium. RNAcentral's name for it is "partial 16S ribosomal RNA". It matches the Rfam family "Bacterial small subunit ribosomal RNA", at positions 339 to 795 of the family's 1533-position model. The record is from RNAcentral.
CUACGGGUUGCUCCAGUGAGGAAUAUUGCACAAUGGGGGGAACCCUGAUGCAGCAACGCCGCGUGGAGGAUGACGCAUUUCGGUGUGUAAACUCCUUUUAUAUGUCAAGAAAAUGACGGUAGCAUAUGAAUAAGCGCCGGCUAACUCCGUGCCAGCAGCCGCGGUAAUACGGAGGGCGCAAGCGUUACUCGGAAUCACUGGGCGUAAAGGACGCGUAGGCGGGUUGAAAAGUCAGGUGUGAAGGCCUACAGCUUAACUGUAGAACUGCACUUGAAACUCUCAACCUAGAGUAUGGGAGGGGCGGAUGGAAUUAGUGGUGUAGGGGUAAAAUCCGUAGAUAUCACUAGGAAUACCUAAAGCGAAGGCGAUCUGCUGGAACAUUACUGACGCUAAGGCGUGAAAGCGUGGGGAGCAAACAGGAUUAGAUACCCGAGUAGUC